RNAcentral lists this ribosomal RNA (441 nucleotides) under Burkholderiales bacterium. Its description in RNAcentral is "bacterial SSU rRNA". It matches the Rfam family "Bacterial small subunit ribosomal RNA", at positions 424 to 858 of the family's 1533-position model. Lineage: Bacteria; Pseudomonadati; Pseudomonadota; Betaproteobacteria; Burkholderiales. The record is from RNAcentral.
UGUAAACCGCUUUUGUCAGGGAAGAAACGGGUUUCUCUAAUACAGAGACCUAAUGACGGUACCUGAAGAAUAAGCACCGGCUAACUACGUGCCAGCAGCCGCGGUAAUACGUAGGGUGCAAGCGUUAAUCGGAAUUACUGGGCGUAAAGCGUGCGCAGGCGGUUAUGCAAGACAGAGGUGAAAUCCCCGGGCUCAACCUGGGAACUGCCUUUGUGACUGCAUAGCUAGAGUACGGUAGAGGGGGAUGGAAUUCCGCGUGUAGCAGUGAAAUGCGUAGAUAUGCGGAGGAACACCGAUGGCGAAGGCAAUCCCCUGGACCUGUACUGACGCUCAUGCACGAAAGCGUGGGGAGCAAACAGGAUUAGAUACCCUGGUAGUCCACGCCCUAAACGAUGUCAACUGGUUGUUGGGAGGGUUUCUUCUCAGUAACGAAGCUAACGC